GACGUAGGGGACGAGCGUUGUCCGGAUUCAUUGGGCGUAAAGAGCGUGUAGGCGGCCUGACAAGUCUGCUGUGAAAACUCGAGGCUCAACCUCGAGAUGUCGGCGGAAACUGUCUGGCUAGAGUCCGGAAGAGGAGAGUGGAAUUCCUGGUGUAGCGGUGAAAUGCGCAGAUAUCAGGAAGAACACCUAUGGCGAAGGCAGCUCUCUGGGACGGUACUGACGCUGAGACGCGAAAGCGUGGGGAGCGAACAGG
RNAcentral lists this ribosomal RNA (253 nucleotides) under uncultured bacterium. RNAcentral describes it as "partial 16S ribosomal RNA". It matches the Rfam family "Bacterial small subunit ribosomal RNA", at positions 524 to 776 of the family's 1533-position model. The record is from RNAcentral.